RNAcentral lists this ribosomal RNA (626 nucleotides) under uncultured bacterium. Its description in RNAcentral is "bacterial SSU rRNA". It matches the Rfam family "Bacterial small subunit ribosomal RNA", at positions 153 to 796 of the family's 1533-position model. The record is from RNAcentral.
GAAACGAUGAUUAAAACCUGAUAACACCAUUUGGUUACAUGAGCAGAUGGUCAAAGAUUUAUCGGCAAAGGAUGGGCCUGCGUCUGAUUAGCUAGUUGGUAAGGUAACGGCUUACCAAGGCGACGAUCAGUAGCCGACCUGAGAGGGUGAACGGCCACAUUGGAACUGAGACACGGUCCAAACUUCUACGGGAGGCAGCAGUGGGGAAUAUUGCACAAUGGGCGAAAGCCUGAUGCAGCAACGCCGCGUGAAGGAAGAAGGCCUUCGGGUCGUAAACUUCUGUCCUUGGGGAAGAAGAACUGACGGUACCCAAGGAGGAAGCCCCGGCUAACUACGUGCCAGCAGCCGCGGUAAUACGUAGGGGGCAAGCGUUAUCCGGAAUUAUUGGGCGUAAAGAGUACGUAGGUGGCAACCUAAGCGCAGGGUUUAAGGCAAUGGCUCAACCAUUGUUCGCCCUGCGAACUGGGAUGCUUGAGUGCAGGAGAGGAAAGCGGAAUUCCUAGUGUAGCGGUGAAAUGCGUAGAUAUUAGGAGGAACACCAGUGGCGAAGGCGGCUUUCUGGACUGUAACUGACACUGAGGUACGAAAGCGUGGGGAGCAAACAGGAUUAGAUACCCUGGUAGUCC